This 496-nucleotide ribosomal RNA is filed under the name uncultured bacterium. RNAcentral describes it as "partial 16S ribosomal RNA". It matches the Rfam family "Bacterial small subunit ribosomal RNA", at positions 29 to 507 of the family's 1533-position model. The record is from RNAcentral.
AUGAACGCUGGCGGCGUGCCUAAUACAUGCAAGUCGAGCGAACAGACGAGGAGCUUGCUCCUCUGACGUUAGCGGCGGACGGGUGAGUAACACGUGGAUAACCUACCUAUAAGACUGGGAUAACUUCGGGAAACCGGAGCUAAUACCGGAUAAUAUAUUGAACCGCAUGGUUCAAUAGUGAAAGACGGUUUUGCUGUCACUUAUAGAUGGAUCCGCGCCGCAUUAGCUAGUUGGUAAGGUAACGGCUUACCAAGGCAACGAUGCGUAGCCGACCUGAGAGGGUGAUCGGCCACACUGGAACUGAGACACGGUCCAGCCUCCUACGGGAGGCAGCAGUAGGGAAUCUUCCGCAAUGGGCGAAAGCCUGACGGAGCAACGCCGCGUGAGUGAUGAAGGUCUUCGGAUCGUAAAACUCUGUUAUUAGGGAAGAACAAAUGUGUAAGUAACUAUGCACGUCUUGACGGUACCUAAUCAGAAAGCCACGGCUAACUACGUG